UACGGAGGGAGCUAGCGUUAUUCGGAAUUACUGGGCGUAAAGCGCACGUAGGCGGCUUUGUAAGUAAGAGGUGAAAGCCUGGAGCUACAACUCCAGAACUGCCUUUUAGACUGCAUCGCUUGAAUCCAGGAGAGGUGAGUGGAAUUCCGAGUGUAGAGGUGAAAUUCGUAGAUAUUCGGAAGAACACCAGUAGCGAAGGCGGACUCACUGGACUGGUAUUGACGCUGAGGUGCGAAAGCGUGGGUAGCAACAGG
Molecule: ribosomal RNA, 254 nt
Filed under: uncultured bacterium
Lineage: Bacteria
Description: partial 16S ribosomal RNA
Rfam family: Bacterial small subunit ribosomal RNA
Source: RNAcentral